CCUACGGGCGGCUGCAGUGGGGAAUAUUGGACAAUGGGGGGAACCCUGAUCCAGCCAUGCCGCGUGUGUGAAGAAGGCCCUCGGGUUGUAAAGCACUUUCAGUGAGGAAGAACGCCUGGUGGUUAAUACCCAUCAGGAAAGACAUCACUCACAGAAGAAGCACCGGCUAACUCCGUGCCAGCAGCCGCGGUAAUACGGAGGGUGCGAGCGUUAAUCGGAAUUACUGGGCGUAAAGCGCGCGUAGGUGGCUUGAUAAGCCGGUUGUGAAAGCCCCGGGCUCAACCUGGGAACGGCAUCCGGAACUGUCCAGCUAGAGUGCAGGAGAGGAAGGUAGAAUUCCCGGUGUAGCGGUGAAAUGCGUAGAGAUCGGGAGGAAUACCAGUGGCGAAGGCGGCCUUCUGGACUGACACUGACACUGAGGUGCGAAAGCGUGGGUAGCAAACAGGAUUAGAUACCCGGGUAGUC
This 465-nucleotide ribosomal RNA is filed under the name Vreelandella stevensii. RNAcentral describes it as "partial 16S ribosomal RNA". It matches the Rfam family "Bacterial small subunit ribosomal RNA", at positions 338 to 795 of the family's 1533-position model. The record is from RNAcentral. Lineage: Bacteria; Pseudomonadati; Pseudomonadota; Gammaproteobacteria; Oceanospirillales; Halomonadaceae.